Molecule: ribosomal RNA, 253 nt
Filed under: uncultured bacterium
Lineage: Bacteria
Description: partial 16S ribosomal RNA
Rfam family: Bacterial small subunit ribosomal RNA
Source: RNAcentral
UACGAAGGGGGCUAGCGUUGUUCGGAAUUACUGGGCGUAAAGCGUGCGCAGGCGGCCAUUUAAGUCAGGGGUGAAAGCCUGGGGCUCAACCCCAGAACUGCCCUUGAGACUGGAUGGCUGGAGUGCGGGAGAGGUGAGUGGAAUUCCCAGUGUAGAGGUGAAAUUCGUAGAUAUUGGGAAGAACACCCGUGGCGAAGGCGGCUCACUGGCCCGUAAAUGACGUUCAGGCACGAUAGCGUGGGGAGCAAACAGG